RNAcentral lists this transfer RNA (74 nucleotides) under Alloprevotella sp. oral taxon 473 str. F0040. RNAcentral describes it as "Prevotella sp. oral taxon 473 str. F0040 tRNA". It matches the Rfam family "tRNA". Rfam says of the family: Transfer RNA (tRNA) molecules are approximately 80 nucleotides in length. Their secondary structure includes four short double-helical elements and three loops (D, anti-codon, and T loops). Further hydrogen bonds mediate the characteristic L-shaped molecular structure. tRNAs have two regions of fundamental functional importance: the anti-codon, which is responsible for specific mRNA codon recognition, and the 3' end, to which the tRNAs corresponding amino acid is attached (by aminoacyl-tRNA synthetases). tRNAs cope with the degeneracy of the genetic code in two manners: having more than one tRNA (with a specific anti-codon) for a particular amino acid; and 'wobble' base-pairing, i.e. permitting non-standard base-pairing at the 3rd anti-codon position. RNAcentral also lists the same sequence under 3 other names. The record is from Rfam by way of RNAcentral. Lineage: Bacteria; Pseudomonadati; Bacteroidota; Bacteroidia; Bacteroidales; Prevotellaceae.
GUGACCGUAGUUCAGUUGGUUAGAGCGUCAGAUUGUGGUUCUGAAUGUCGUGGGUUCGAAUCCCAUCGGUCACC